GUUUUUAUAGUUUAAUAAAAAACUUUGGUCUUGUAAACCAAAAAUAAGAAUUUCUUUAAAAACU
Molecule: transfer RNA, 64 nt
Filed under: Erasmia pulchella
Lineage: Eukaryota; Metazoa; Arthropoda; Insecta; Lepidoptera; Zygaenidae
Description: tRNA-Thr
Rfam family: tRNA
About the family: Transfer RNA (tRNA) molecules are approximately 80 nucleotides in length.
Source: RNAcentral